RNAcentral lists this ribosomal RNA (1125 nucleotides) under Triticum aestivum (bread wheat). RNAcentral's name for it is "partial small subunit ribosomal RNA". The record is from RNAcentral. Lineage: Eukaryota; Viridiplantae; Streptophyta; Magnoliopsida; Poales; Poaceae.
AUGCGCCGAGCAGCAGCAGCGGCGAGCCCGAGGAGGAGCAGCUGCUGCAGAAGCUGUUGUCGCUCUACCGCGCCCGACAGGCCAAGCUGGUAUCCCGAGAAGCGCUUGUCGCGAAGGCGGGAGUGGACAUCGAGAAGCGCGCGGAGGAGCUCCAGGGGUCUCAGGCAGGAAGCUCUCCGGUCCCUGGCAGAGGAGCAGGAGCAAGUCGCCGAGGAGCGGAAAGCCUUCCUCCUCGAGAAGGCUGAAGUUGAAGAGCAGCAGCGGCUUGUUGCCGAAAAGCUAUCUGCGCAGGAAGGCGAGUUGGCGCAGCGCAAGGUCAACCUUGACAGCCACGAGGAGGAGCUUGCCGUGCGCGAGCAAACAUUCGGCGGGGCUCUCAAGGAAGCAGAGGAUGCUGCCGCAGCUGCCGAGGCCGCCAAGAAGGAGCUGGAGACAAAGGUGGCGCAGCUGGAGGCCGAUCUCAAGGUGAGCGGUGAGGAGCUUGCUGCGCUCAAGCAUGAGCGUGAGAAGGACGCCGCCGCUCAUGGCGAGCUGCAGGGUCGUCUCGCUGAGAGGAGCAAAGAGCUUAGCACCGCCAAGGAUUCCAACGCAGAUCUUGAGUUGAAGCUGGCUACUUUGACCAAGACGCUGGACGGCGCCAGGGAGCAGGAGGUGGCCUUGAAGGAGAAGAUCAAGACCGACGAGGCGCUGCUGGCGAAUGCUGCUGCCGCCCAGAACACUUUUAGGGAGAAUGUGGAGCACUGGACCGAGGGUCUCGUGGAUGUUGCCGCAGCCAUCGACGGGGAGCUGGCGCAGCUGGGGAUGGAGGAUCUCGGGUAUUCCUCUGACGAGCACCUCCAACCCAGCGCCAAGCUCAGCUUGUUCUUCAAAGGCGUGGCGACGGCCCUCCAGCGACUCCGGGAGAAGAUCCCAAAGCAGCUGGUCGACGAGUCGCGCAAGAUCUGCGCGGGAGCUCUUCAAAAGGUGCUGGUGAAGGUGGCCUUCCGCAACCCAGGCCUCAACCUCACCAACAUCCUCAGGACCUUGCCACCGGAUGCUGAUCUGGAAGCGCUCAAGACCCUUGUCGCACCCAUUGUGGACAAGGUGAGCAGGAUCAAGAGGGUUGAGGGCGAUCGCGUAGAUUAG